CACACCCAACUCCUCCGCCAAAAUGUCCUCCUCCAAAGUAUCCACCCAAACAUCCUCCCAUUGUGAGGCCUCCGUUUCACCCUAAACCACCGAAACAUCCUCCCCAUCCUCCAAAGCCGCCCAAGCCUCCUGUCGUAAAGCCUCCUUAUGUGCCCAAACCUCCAGUUGUAAAGCCUCCGCCUCAUAUACCGAAGCCUCCCUAUGUACCCAAACCUCCUGUUGUAAAGCCUCCGCCUCAUGCACCGAAGCCUCCCUAUGUACCCAAACCUCCUGUAGUAAAGCCUCCGCCUUACACCCCGAAGCCUCCCUAUGUACCCAAACCUCCAGUUGUAAAGCCUCCACCCUAUACACCAAAACCUCCAGUUGUAAAGCCUCCACCUUAUCCACCAAAACCUCCAGUUGUAAAACCACCCUACGUGCCGGUGCCCACGCCACCAUAUGUACCCAAGCCCCCACCUUAUGUACCGAAACCCCCCAUCGUGCCUGUACCUAAGCCACCUUAUGUACCCAAACCGCCCGUCGUCAAACCCCCACCUUAUUAUCCAAUACCGCCAGUCAUAUCACCGCCAAUUCUGCCUCCAAAGCCUCCUGUAUAUCCGAGUCCUCCGAUUGUGAAGCCACCAACACCACCAGUUCUGCCUCCAACGCCUCCUGUCUAUCCGAGUCCUCCGAUUGUGAAGCCACCAACACCGCCAAUCCUGCCUCCAAAGCCUCCUGUCUAUCCGAGUCCUCCGAUUGUGAAGCCACCGACACCGCCAAUCCUGCCUCCAACCCCUCCUAUAUAUCCAAGUCCUCCUAUUGUGAAGCCACCUCCCAUCGAGAAACCAUGUCCUCCACCACCCCCACCCUUGCCAUAUCCACCACCUCCGGCGCAGCAAACAUGCUCCAUUGACACUUUGAAACUGGGUGCAUGUGUGGACGUGUUAGGUGGC
RNAcentral lists this long non-coding RNA (932 nucleotides) under Theobroma cacao (cacao). RNAcentral describes it as "long non-coding RNA (TCAC_LNC000176)". Lineage: Eukaryota; Viridiplantae; Streptophyta; Magnoliopsida; Malvales; Malvaceae. The record is from RNAcentral.